Long non-coding RNA from Bos taurus (domestic cattle), 1440 nucleotides. The record is from Ensembl. NCBI's taxonomy places the organism in Eukaryota, Metazoa, Chordata, Mammalia, Artiodactyla, Bovidae.
CAAGGAGAGCAGGGCCCACUAUGCCUCUGGCAACCUUUGAGAGGAGCUGCCCGCCUGGUCUGAGCAGCACAUGAUGGUCCACAGAGAAAAGACCAUCUAUUUUCUGUUAAUGUGAACUCUCACAUUUACGGUUUUGCCAAGCUGAAAAUAACAAUAACAUACUCUGCUCUCCAUAGCCCUGUCCCCUCGUGAAGGGAGAGGAGAAAAAGGUCCAGCCGAGCCCAGGAAACAAAGUCUCCUCUGUUGGCAGUGUGGGCUUCUUCUCCAGUCCCCAGGCCCCCCGCCGUGGCACUGGAGUGAGCUGGGCCCAGCAAGCGGGGCUUUGUGGAUAGUCUGGGAGAGCCCCCGAGGCCGGACUUGCUUCCCACGUGGGAGUGGGGCGGCCACGGGCCCUGCUGGGGCACCUACCAAGGUGCUGGGGGGCCUUGGAGGUCUGAACAUAUCCCCCGUGCUCGUGGGUCAGCGCUCCGCAUCCCCACCCAGGCGCCCCAUGAGCCCCGGUCAAGGGCACACAGAGUUCCGAAGCCCAACGUGUUCCCAGAAGCCCCAUCCUUUGAACAGUCUUCCUUUUCACUGCCCUGCUUGAAAACAGAGAAAGUUCAAACCUCCAUCUUCUGUCUUAAGGAGAUUCCUGCUGUGACUCGGUCUCUGACGUGGGUCUUUUCUUCCCCCUUCCUGGGUGGGGUCUGGGCUGGAGCCUCAGAGCAGAGAGGCGGACAUGCUGGGGGCGGGUUGGCCGUGCCGCUGGGAGAAGGCCUUCCUGCCGCCUCCACCCCGCGGGGCUCUGGGGACAGGCCCGGGGUGCUGAGAGAGGCUUGGUCUCAGGCACAGACUGUGAGGCGGGUUGGCCUCCGAGCUGAUGGGGAUCACCGGCUGGGCCUCCCUGCCUCCCGGCAGCAGCCACAGACACUCACAGCCCCUGUUUUGUUUCUUCCUCAGACCGGUCUGUUCUCAAUUACUCUGCGGCCCUGCUCUCUGCUUUCUACAGCUCAUUUGUGAAGGAACAUUUGCCCUGGAGCUGGGGACACGUGGGCGUCCAACACCUUCACUCUAGAAGGCUCUGUGGCCUCGAAGAUCAUGCAACUUCUGGAUUCAGACUUCUUCGCCUCACCCAUAAACCACAGACGUCUUCCUAACCAGGCUGGGCCUGAGAUGAGGGCGGAGAGAGAAAGAGAGCAGCGGGUUUUCGUUCUGCCUCUCCCGCGCCACUCGAUGGUGGCCUGAAAUCGCAGCCGUCAGCCUUGGAGAGCGUCCCUCCGACUUGCAAGCGUAGCGGGGUUCAGAGCCUCAGUCACCUGGACGGCUGGCUUCUGAGUCCUCAGCGCCUCACCACCUCGCGGAGGUCACUGGUGGGAAAGGUGGGCUUUGACAGGCAGCAGGAGUGAACGCAGGGUUUGGUGUAUGAGGAGCAGAGUGUGGUGAAGCGCUGAGUGUUUUUGC